CUGGAACUGCUAAGCAUCUUAUUGUAUAUUGUAUAUAGUGUUUUAAAUUGCGAUACUGUACUCUUCUUGUAUUUUAUAUUUCUGAUUGUGUUGUACCACUGCUACGAUGACCUAAUUUCCCCUCGGGGAUAAAUAAAGUUAUCCAUCCAUCCAUCCAUCCAUCCAUCCAUCCAUCUAUCCAUCUAUCCAUCUAUCUAUCAGGAGAUCCUGUUUUCAAACUGAGCUUUCCAAAGUCCAGGAAGGGAGAGUACAGAGCCAAACCGUUGAAGACAGACACAUUCCAUGCAGACUGCGGUGAUGCACUGUUGGACCUGAUCUCGAGAAGGUUUUCCAGGACCCUGCCCCAUAUGUGAACGAGGUGCUGAAACUCAUAAUCCCUGAAGACAUCUCGGACCACGCAGAAAGGCAGCACAACUCUCACUCUCCACCCCAGAGAGCCCCAGCACCAGCUUACAAAGCUUCUGUAGGCUAUAUUGGCUGAACACAAUUCAGUAUAAAGUCAGCACUGAAUGUUUACACCCAUGGCAACUAGAUUCUUUCUUUGUUAUUAUUUUCAUAUUGAUAUUGAAGUUAAUAUAUAAAGUCAAACUGUUUCACUUCAGAUAUUAAUUUUCUUAUUAUUUCAUUCAUGUCAACACAUGUUUACAAAUGUUUCUUACAAUAAAACAUCUUUCCUAACUGUUCUGUGUUUUCACUGUUUGAUAUGUAAUUUUCAUGUUAAUAAGUAAAAGAUAAACUAUAAGCAAUGUAAGAUAGAGGAAGCAGUUAUGUACUUUUCAUCAUAACACUUUUGCGAUAAAUGUAUAGUAUUUAUGUGAAUAAAAGCUUACUGCACUAUUCCCCUCAGACGUAAAGGUCCAUAGUCUGUCUGAUAAAUGUUCAGUGCAUUCUGCAGUGCAGAUACAUUCAGGCAGACAGGUUACAGGCCAGGACGGUCCACUAUGCAUGAUGGUGGCUCAGGAUGCUGCUGUAGUCUUCGUGUAACCUAGAAAUUAUGAAAGGUAAGUGAGUGACAAUAGAUUAGAGAAAAGAGAGACAGCAAAAUGACAAUCAUGUUUGCCCAGUGUUUACACUUAAUUGUGGUAUUUCCAUACAGCAGAUGUUCUCAGGUUAUGUAGGCAUUU
RNAcentral lists this long non-coding RNA (1124 nucleotides) under Sparus aurata (gilthead seabream). RNAcentral describes it as "lncRNA (ENSSAUG00010022732.1)". The record is from RNAcentral. Lineage: Eukaryota; Metazoa; Chordata; Actinopteri; Spariformes; Sparidae.